CCAAUAGCGUAUAUUAAAGUUGUUGCAGUUAAAAAGCUCGUAGUUGAAUUUCAGGCCUGGCUGGACGGUCCGCCCUUCGGGUGAGUACUGUCUGUGGUCGGGUCCUACCUUCUGGCGAAGCGUCAUGGCCUUAACCGGCCGUGGCGGGGAACCAGGACUUUUACUGUGAAAAAAUUAGAGUGUUCAAAGCAGGCAAUCGCUUGGAUACAUUAGCAUGGAAUAAUGGAGUAGGACAAUGGUUCUAUUUGUUGGUUUCUAGGACCGUUGUAAUGAUUAAUAGGGAUAGUUGGGGGCAUUAGUAUUCAAUUGUCAGAGGUGAAAUUCUUGGAUUUAUUGAAGACUAACUACUGCGAAAGCAUUUGCCAAGGAUGUUUUCAUUAAUCAAGAACGAAAGUUAGGGGAUCGAAGACGAUCAGAUACCGUCGUAGUCUUAACCAUAAACUAUGCCGACUAGGAAUCGGGCGAUGUUGAAAAAAUGACGCGCUCGGCACCUCAUG
RNAcentral lists this unclassified non-coding RNA (497 nucleotides) under uncultured Paraglomus. RNAcentral describes it as "SSU rRNA". It matches the Rfam family "Eukaryotic small subunit ribosomal RNA", at positions 591 to 1092 of the family's 1831-position model. The record is from RNAcentral. Lineage: Eukaryota; Fungi; Glomeromycota; Glomeromycetes; Paraglomerales; Paraglomeraceae.